Non-coding RNA from Vicugna pacos (alpaca), 758 nucleotides. The record is from RefSeq and is a predicted model, not a curated record. Lineage: Eukaryota; Metazoa; Chordata; Mammalia; Artiodactyla; Camelidae.
UCUGUCAUUUCUGAAUUAAGCCAAGCAAGAGUGCAUUCACUCCAGAGCCAGUCCACUGACAACGCAUGCAUCCUAAGCAGUCCCAGAGAGAACCACCAGGGUUCCCAGAAAGGACAGCCAAGAAAUGAAGGCAGGCAGAGCCUCUCCUGACAAACUCCGUUACCUCCACGAAUGUGGCUCGAAGCCCGAACACGUCCCUUUGCAUCGCAGACAAGGCACACCUCUUGCUGACUGUUGCUGGCCCAGGGACAUCUGGAAAAGGAGACAGAAAAGAGGGUGUUUUUCUUCCAAACGUCUUGGACCGGGGAUGCUUGACCUCUCAAGACUUGGCAUACCAGCAAAGCGAUUGUGUGGGGUUCAAAGGGCUCGAUGAAUAAGCCAUCGCUUUACUGUUUACCAGGAACAGAGGAGACCAGCCGGGAAAGUGGUCAUGGGGCGGAACUGCACUCCCUAAGGCAGUUGGCAUAGAAAACCUCACCUCUUGUUCUGGACACCUUGGAUUCUACUAGUUGAAAGACAGUGAUCCUUUCGUACUUAAUAUGUCAAGAUGCGUGGUAUUCCCCAAGUUAGAAGUCAAAUAAAAUGGAGUAGAUGCGUGUCAGACUUGGAACACACAAAACUAGACUGUGACCCAGUCCUAGUGGCUCAUUCAUCCUCGUCUUUCAAUGCUCAGCUCAGAUGUCACCUCCUUGGUAAGUUUUCCUGUGAUCACCUCCCCAAGUACUUAAGCUCUUAAGUACUUCCUCUCUGAUGUCCCU